Molecule: ribosomal RNA, 253 nt
Filed under: uncultured bacterium
Lineage: Bacteria
Description: partial 16S ribosomal RNA
Rfam family: Bacterial small subunit ribosomal RNA
Source: RNAcentral
UGCGUAGGGUGCAAGCGUUAAUCGGAAUUACUGGGCGUAAAGCGUGCGCAGGCGGUUCGCUAAGACGGAUGUGAAAUCCCCGGGCUUAACCUGGGAACUGCAUUUGUGACUGGCGGGCUAGAGUAUGGCAGAGGGGGGUAGAAUUCCACGUGUAGCAGUGAAAUGCGUAGAGAUGUGGAGGAAUACCGAUGGCGAAGGCAGCCCCCUGGGCCAAUACUGACGCUCAUGCACGAAAGCGUGGGGAGCAAACAGG